ACCUGGCUGGCUCAGUUGGUGGAGCAUGAGACUCUUGAUCUCAGGGUUGUGGGUUCAAGCCCCAUGUUGGGUA
This is a non-coding RNA of Neomonachus schauinslandi (Hawaiian monk seal), 73 nucleotides long. The record is from the annotation of a RefSeq genome assembly. NCBI's taxonomy places the organism in Eukaryota, Metazoa, Chordata, Mammalia, Carnivora, Phocidae.